ACACAUGCAGUCGAGGGGUAGAGUUAGCUUGCUAACUUGAGACCGGCGCACGGGUGCGUAACGCGUAUGCAAUCUACCUUAUACAGGGGAAUAGCCCAGAGAAAUUUGGAUUAAUGCCCCAUAGUAUUAUCGAAUGGCAUCAUUUGAUAAUUAAAGUUCCAACGGUAUAAGAUGAGCAUGCGUCCCAUUAGUUAGUUGGUAAGGUAACGGCUUACCAAGACUAUGAUGGGUAGGGGUCCUGAGAGGGAGAUCCCCCACACUGGUACUGAGACACGGACCAGACUCCUACGGGAGGCAGCAGUGAGGAAUAUUGGACAAUGGGCGCAAGCCUGAUCCAGCCAUGCCGCGUGCAGGAAGACGGUCCUAUGGAUUGUAAACUGCUUUUAUACAGGAAGAAACACCUCUACGUGUAGAGGCUUGACGGUACUGUAAGAAUAAGGAUCGGCUAACUCCGUGCCAGCAGCCGCGGUAAUACGGAGGAUCCAAGCGUUAUCCGGAAUCAUUGGGUUUAAAGGGUCCGUAGGCGGCCUUAUAAGUCAGUGGUGAAAUCUCCUAGCUCAACUAGGAAACUGCCAUUGAUACUGUAGGGCUUGAAUUAUUAGGAAGUAACUAGAAUAUGUAGUGUAGCGGUGAAAUGCUUAGAUAUUACAUGGAAUACCAAUUGCGAAGGCAGGUUACUACUAAUACAUUGACGCUGAUGGACGAAAGCGUGGGUAGCGAACAGGAUUAGAUACCCUGGUAGUCCACGCCGUAACGAUGGAUACUAGCUGUUCGGA
RNAcentral lists this ribosomal RNA (776 nucleotides) under unidentified microorganism. RNAcentral describes it as "bacterial SSU rRNA". It matches the Rfam family "Bacterial small subunit ribosomal RNA", at positions 51 to 828 of the family's 1533-position model. The record is from RNAcentral.